Molecule: ribosomal RNA, 385 nt
Filed under: uncultured eukaryote
Lineage: Eukaryota
Description: SSU rRNA
Rfam family: Eukaryotic small subunit ribosomal RNA
Source: RNAcentral
AACUCCAAUAGCGUAUAUUAAAGCUGUUGCAGUUAAAAAGCUCGUAGUUGGAUUUCUAGUGGGAGUAAUCGGUCCGGUACUCAUGUGUUGGUACUCGUAUUAUCUCCAGCCAUCCUUGGGUGGAGUCUGUUUGUCAUUAAGUUGUCGAGCAGGUGAUGCCCAUCGUUUACUGUGAAAAAAUUAGAGUGUUCAAAGCAGGCUUAGGCCGUUGAAUAUAUUAGCAUGGAAUAAUAAGAUAGGACCUUGGUACUAUUUUGUUGGUUUGUGCACCGGGUUAAUGAUUAAUAGGGACAGUUGGGGGUAUUUGUAUUCCGUUGUCAGAGGUGAAAUUCUUGGAUUUACGGAAGACAAACUACUGCGAAAGUAUUUACCAAGGAUGUUUUCA